This is a long non-coding RNA of Pseudopipra pipra, 531 nucleotides long. RefSeq lists it as uncharacterized. The transcript is spliced from 3 exons. Lineage: Eukaryota; Metazoa; Chordata; Aves; Passeriformes; Pipridae. The record is from RefSeq and is a predicted model, not a curated record.
CGGGGCGGGUGCGGUCGGUUGUGUGUGAGGGCUGAGGGCGCGGCCCCGCUGCUGCCCGGGCUGCGGAGGGGAGAGCGCCUUGGCCGCUGGCCUGGCUCGUGGUUUCCCCUGGUGCUGGGGAGUGGAGGCGAGUUGUGCUUCCUGCUGGGAGAGAGAAGGGCCUUGGGAAGCUGCUCCAUGAGCCACAGCUGUGCCGAGCCCGGGAGUCUGUCCAGGGAGGCAGUUUGCAAGGACAGGGGGGUUGCUGUGCUCUCUAGCAAAACUACUCCCCUUGGGAUGUGCAGGGUGAGGAAAUGUUGGCCCCGUGUGGGCUGGAGCAAAGGUGUGUGGGUGCCUGUGUGUGACAGCCGUGGGUGUGCAGGAAGGGGGUUCUGGGGCCAUUGGAGCUGCCAGGGAGCCAAAAGGGGCACAGUUGUCUGAAAAAGGUGAAAGCUCUGUUGGCCUCUGUUGACACCUGCACCAAAGGAGAUGCAAAUUUUCCCCCUCUUGGUUGCAGGCUUCACAAAGCUCCCAGGAAAGGAAGUUUUAGAU